This 1675-nucleotide ribosomal RNA is filed under the name Neohomaloptera johorensis. Its description in RNAcentral is "16S rRNA". It matches the Rfam family "Bacterial large subunit ribosomal RNA". The record is from RNAcentral. Lineage: Eukaryota; Metazoa; Chordata; Actinopteri; Cypriniformes; Balitoridae.
GCCAAACAGCUAGCUUAACCCACCCAAUUAACCAAAAAAUAUAAAUAAUAUAUAAAAACAUCAAACCCAAUAAAUAAACCAUUUUUCCACCCUAGUAUGGGAGACAGAAAAGGACCUAUAAGCAAUAGAUAUAGUACCGCAAGGGAAAGCUGAAAAAGUAAUGAAACAACCCAUAUAAGCAAUAAAAAGCAGAGACCUAACCUCGUACCUUUUGCAUCAUGAUUUAGCCAGCACCCUCAGGCAAAGAGACCUUUAGUCUGAAACCCCGAAACCGAGUGAGCUACCCCGAGACAGCCAAUUUGGGCCAACCCAUCUCUGUGGCAAAAGAGUGGGAAGAUCUCCGGGUAGAGGUGAUAGACCUACCGAACUCGGUGAUAGCUGGUUGCCCAGAAAAUGAAUAGAAGUUCAGCCUCGUUCUCCUUAAGUUAAUAAAGCAAUAUCUAACUAAGCACAAAAAGUAAGACACGAGAGUUAGUUAUUAGGGGUACAGCCCUAUUAACAAAGAAUACAACCUUAACAGGAGGAUAAGGAUCACAUUAUACAAGAUAUAUUGUCUCAGUGGGCCUAAAAGCAGCCAUCUGAACAGAAAGCGUUAAAGCUCAAACAAUACAAAAUUUAUUAUUCUGAUAAAAAAUCCAACUCCCCCAAAACUACUGGGCUAUUCUAUGCUAACAUAGAAGAAACUAUGCUAAAAUGAGUAACAAGGGGACAAUUCCCCUCCCGGCACAAGUGUAAGCCAGAUCGGAUAAUCCACUGGCACUUAACGAGCCCCAUAAAAGAGGGUAAUGUGAAAAUAACAAAAACCAAGAAAAUCCCACAAUAUAAAAUCGUUACCCCUACACCGGAGUGCCCCAAGGAAAGACUAAAAAAUAGGGAAGGAACUCGGCAAACACAAGCCUCGCCUGUUUACCAAAAACAUCGCCUCCUGCAAAACUCAAUGUAUAGGAGGUCCAGCCUGCCCAGUGACCACAAGUUCAACGGCCGCGGUAUUUUGACCGUGCAAAGGUAGCGCAAUCACUUGUCUUUUAAAUGAAGACCUGUAUGAAGGCCAAACGAGGGCUUAACUGUCUCCCCUGUUAAGUCAGUGAAAUUGAUCUAUCCGUGCAGAAGCGGAUAUACAACUACAAGACGAGAAGACCCUUUGGAGCUUAAGGUACAAACCCAAUCAUGUUAAACAAUACAACAAACAGUAUUAAACCUAAUGAAACAUGGGACUCUACCUUCGGUUGGGGCGACCAUGGAGAAAAAAAGAUCCUCCACGUGGACUGAGCCAACAAGCUUAAAACCAAGAAAGACAUUUCAAAGUCACAGAAAAUCUGACCAAAUAUGAUCCGGCCAAUAAAGCCGAUCAACGGACCAAGUUACCCUAGGGAUAACAGCGCAAUCCUCUCCCAGAGUCCAUAUCGACGAGGGGGUUUACGACCUCGAUGUUGGAUCAGGACAUCCUAAUGGUGCAGCCGCUAUUAAGGGUUCGUUUGUUCAACGAUUAAAGUCCUACGUGAUCUGAGUUCAGACCGGAGCAAUCCAGGUCAGUUUCUAUCUGUAACGUCACUUUUCCUAGUACGAAAGGACCGGGAAAGAGGGGCCAACACUAAAAGUGCGCCCCACCCCUAAUUGAUGAAGUCAACUAAAUCAAAUAAAGGGAGGACCCAUAUACCCGCCUAAAUAAGGCCAC